CAGCAGCCCGGGAAUACGAAGGGGGCUAGCGUUGUUCGGAAUUACUGGGCGUAAAGCGCACGUAGGCGGACAUUUAAGUCAGGGGUGAAAUCCCGGGGCUCAACCCCGGAACUGCCUUUGAUACUGGGUGUCUAGAGUAUGGAAGAGGUGAGUGGAAUUCCGAGUGUAGAGGUGAAAUUCGUAGAUAUUCGGAGAAACACCAGUGGCGAAGGCGGCUCACUGGUCCAUUACUGACGCUGAGGUGCGAAAGCGUGGGGAGCAAACAGGAUUAGAUACCCCGGUAGUCCCUGUCUCUAUACAC
Molecule: ribosomal RNA, 301 nt
Filed under: uncultured bacterium
Lineage: Bacteria
Description: partial 16S ribosomal RNA
Rfam family: Bacterial small subunit ribosomal RNA
Source: RNAcentral